GCCUUCGUGUUGUAACCGGUAGCACACUCGGCUCGUAUUCGAGAGUUUCAGGUUCGAAUUCCGCCGAGGGCA
RNAcentral lists this transfer RNA (72 nucleotides) under Stegodyphus mimosarum. It matches the Rfam family "tRNA". Rfam says of the family: Transfer RNA (tRNA) molecules are approximately 80 nucleotides in length. Their secondary structure includes four short double-helical elements and three loops (D, anti-codon, and T loops). Lineage: Eukaryota; Metazoa; Arthropoda; Arachnida; Araneae; Eresidae. The record is from Rfam by way of RNAcentral.